This 2445-nucleotide long non-coding RNA is filed under the name Erythranthe guttata (spotted monkey flower). Its description in RNAcentral is "long non-coding RNA (EGUT_LNC001165)". The record is from RNAcentral. Lineage: Eukaryota; Viridiplantae; Streptophyta; Magnoliopsida; Lamiales; Phrymaceae.
UUGCAUAAAAGUCGAAAAAGAGGUUCGAAUCACCACAUAGGGUUCCAAUAAAAUCCUAGAAUAAAAACUUAGCUACUCAUGUUCGUAACGAAAAGCAUAAUAAAAAUACGAAAAUUCAUAAAAAUCAGAAAAGAAAAGGAAAAAGGAAAACUAGGAUGAAGAGUCGUCAAGUCUUCGUCUUCGUUCUCUUGCUCCUUGAUUGCGUGUCGAAAGAUGAAAGCUAAAAACUAAAAAUAAAGAUAGAUGGUAAAAGAUAGAUCUAAUUGUGUGCUCUUGGCCUUUAAAUAGGGUGCAAAAAUAUAAUAGGGCGGGUUUCCUUGUGUAAUUAAAAUUCCUUCACUGCGCCUUCACGUCCACCCGGACGGCCGUGUGAGAUUAUGCUUUAAAAUCCGCACGGCCGCGCGGGCUUUAAUUCUGCAGGAAAUCUGACUUUUUUCACUUUUGGCCCACUUUUUCUCUGAAUUUGCAGUUUUCACCCCAAAAGUUGUCAAUUCUUCAAUUUGCACCUAAAAUACAAAUAAUAACCAAAUUAAGCACCAAUUAUCGUAAAAACACACCAAAAGCUCCAAUUAAAAGGUAUAAUUAAGUGUAUAAAUCUACACUUAACACACCCCCAAACUUGAACUUUUGCUUGUCCUCAAGUAAAAUCAAAUCAAGAACACAAAUCAUGACAAUACAUCUCAUUACAUAGGUCGAUUGGUCAACUUCGUGUUUUCAGAACUUGCAAUUAUGAUGACAAUUCAUAAGUAUUCGCAAGCUUAACAUUCAACGGCACUUAGUCACUCACCAUUACCAAAAACCACAAAUCAUACAAUUGCUUCAAGUAUCCAAUAUUUGCAAGUUAAAGAUAGAAAGAAUUUGUACUUACAUGCAUAUAUUUGACUCCAAAUACUCACCAAAUUAUUUUACUCAACUAAUAUUGAACAAUAAGCUAUUGGAAUCAUUGGGACUUUGUGGCUUUCAAUUGUUAGGCUCUUUGGUCCGAGGUAGGUAAUAUGGGUAUAUGUGGCUAAUUUUCUUGAAUUGAGGUGAUUACGCCAAAAUUUGAAAGAUAGGCGUUUGAAACAAUGAAUUCACCUCUAGGGACUUAAAUAAACUCGAUUCUCCAAAAUUCACACGUCAACACUUUUGCCUUGAGGCAAUGGAUCGAGUUUUCAACACAACUCAACAACUAGUCCUUAUUUCUCCCUUCUAAUCUAUUCUUCUUCUUCUUUUUAUUUUUAUUUUUUUUUUUAUUUUUUUUUUAUUUUUUAAUCGAAGGAUUUAGAUAUAUAUAUAUAUAUGAAGAUGCACAUAUAUAUCUAUCCUUUUUCUUUUUCUCUUUUUUUUUUUUUUUUUUUUAUUUUUUUUUUAUUUUUUUAUUAUUAUUUUUUUUUUUUUUUUUUUUUAUUUUAUUUUUUUCGAAGAAGAAGAAAGAUCUUAUAAGAAUUUCUCGACGGACCUCCAAGGGAUGAUUAUUCAGAAAUCUCCACUUUUCUACCUUCUACAUAUUGGCUAAAAGAAAGAACACCUUUUUUCUCCGAGGCUCAAAUCAAGGUUCUAAGGAUAAAAAUUUAAAGGUAGGCUUGAAAGGCUCAAACGGUUCAAAGAAGGCCCAAAUCAUAUCCCAAAUCACUUAUUAUCAACACUUCGUAUCAUACCUGUCCUAAGGUGAGAUUUAAAACCGAACAAAGCAUGAUUGAGCACAAAUAAAUUCCAAAUUUAACAUGCAAAACAUUCAACCAAAGCAAAGCACAAGGUGUGAUUCCUAGCAAUAAUUCACUUCUACGUUCCGUUGAAUCGAAAGCUAAACAAAUACAUACUCCUUAUCAACAUAAAACAAGUAGUUUCAUCAUCAAACAUUGACCAUCUACCAUCAUCGUAAUUCAUCGAUGCAUCGAACAAAUUUUUUUUUUUUUUUUUUUUUUUUUUUUUUUUUUUUUAGAAUAAAACGAAAAUAAUAAAACGGCAACUAAAACAACAAACUAAAACAUGCACAAUAAAAAAAAUAAAACACACAUAAAGCACAUAAAUGAAAACAAGUAGUUAACCACCCCCAAACUUAAAAUUCACAUUGCCCUCAAUGUGAUUUGCCCGGAGUUUAAGGAUAGAAAACACCUGUUUUAAAUGUCGGGACCAUCGUCGGGAUUAUACGUGAAUUGAUGUGCAAAAUUCCCCCCAAACUUGACUUGGGCAAUUCGUCGAACACCUUGUGGGCGUUCUUGGUGGAGUGGGUUUGUGGAGAAAAUUGCACCUUUCUUGAAUCCCCCCUGCGCAAAUCAACAAGAAACCACCACGAUUAAGAAGUAUGUGUGUGUAAUUGGUGAAUUUUCGGUGAAUUUGGUCCAAGAAAAUUGAAAAUUUUGAAAAGAGGGGGGUAGGGUUCGAAGUGGAAGAGAGGGGAUUUGGGAAUUAUGGAAAUUGGGGUUUGGAAAAAACCCUAUUUAAUAUGCCCGGAUUUUUUUU